Tachyglossus aculeatus (Australian echidna) is the source of this 138-nucleotide small nucleolar RNA. Lineage: Eukaryota; Metazoa; Chordata; Mammalia; Monotremata; Tachyglossidae. The record is from RefSeq and is a predicted model, not a curated record.
CCCCUCUCAGGAUUGCACCUGGAGAGCUUCCAGUACUCUACCAACCUUGGCUACGAGAGGGAGAGUCAAGCAGAGGCCUACCCAUUCCAUUCCUGACUUGAGCAAUGGCUAGCAAGUGGAAGGCAAUCUGCUACAAGU